This 461-nucleotide ribosomal RNA is filed under the name uncultured bacterium. Its description in RNAcentral is "partial 16S ribosomal RNA". It matches the Rfam family "Bacterial small subunit ribosomal RNA", at positions 338 to 795 of the family's 1533-position model. The record is from RNAcentral.
CCUACGGGUGGCAGCAGUGAGGAAUAUUGGUCAAUGGGCGAGAGUCUGAACCAGCCAAGUCGCGUGAAGGAUGACGGCCCUACGGGUUGUAAACUUCUUUUGUCAGGGAGCAAUUGAGUCCACGUGUGGGCUUAGCGAGAGUACCUGAAGAAAAAGCAUCGGCUAACUCCGUGCCAGCAUCCGCGGUAAUACGGAGGGAGCGAGCGUUGUCCGGAAUUACUGGGCGUAAAGGGCGCGUAGGCGGGAACUUAAGUUAGAUGUGAAAACUCCGGGCUUAACCUGGAGACUGCAUUUAAAACUGGGUUUCUUGAGGGCAGGAGAGGAAAGUGGAAUUCCUAGUGUAGCGGUGAAAUGCGUAGAUAUUAGGAGGAACACCAGUGGCGAAGGCGACUUUCUGGACUGUACCUGACGCUGAGGCGCGAAAGCAUGGGGAGCGAACAGGAUUAGAUACCCCAGUAGUC